CGGGCGCCAAAGUAUUAGUGGCGCCCGCCACAUUCACAUUGUGGAUGUCAGAGGUUCGAGUCCUCUAUCGCCCAU
Molecule: transfer RNA, 75 nt
Filed under: Candidatus Omnitrophota bacterium
Lineage: Bacteria; Pseudomonadati; Candidatus Omnitrophota
Description: tRNA-Val
Source: RNAcentral